Molecule: ribosomal RNA, 253 nt
Filed under: uncultured bacterium
Lineage: Bacteria
Description: partial 16S ribosomal RNA
Rfam family: Bacterial small subunit ribosomal RNA
Source: RNAcentral
UACAGAGGGUGCGAGCGUUAAUCGGAAUUACUGGGCGUAAAGCGUGCGUAGACGGCUAUCUAAGUCGGGUGUGAAAGCCCCGGGCUCAACCUGGGAAUUGCAUUCGAGACUGAAUAGCUAGGGUACGGUAGAGGGAAGUGGAAUUUCCGGUGUAGCGGUGAAAUGCGUAGAUAUCGGAAGGAACAUCAGUGGCGAAAGCACUCUGCUGGGCCGACACUGACACUGAGAGACGAAAGCUAGGGGAGCGAAUGGG